GAUGAAGAACGUAGCGAAAUGCGAUAAGUAAUGUGAAUUGCAGAAUUCAGUGAAUCAUCGAAUCUUUGAACGCAUCUUGCGCUCCUUGGUAUUCUGAGGAGCAUGCCUGUUUGAGUGUCAUUAAAUUCUCAACUACACUGACUUUGAAUUGGUGUGGCUUGGAUUUGGGUGGGAAAAUUGUUGUGGGCUUUUUGUAUAGUCUGCUCCCCUGAAAUUGAUUAGCGGUACCUUUGUGGAACUGUCUACAGGUGUGAUAAUUAUCUACAUCCUAGACAUCUGCUGGAAUGCUGCUUUCUAAACCUUACUUGUAUUGACAAUCUUGACCUCAAAUCAGGUAGGACUACCCGCUGAACUUAAGCAUAUCAAUAAGCGGAGGA
This 377-nucleotide unclassified non-coding RNA is filed under the name soil metagenome. RNAcentral's name for it is "partial contains 5.8S ribosomal RNA, internal transcribed spacer 2, and large subunit ribosomal RNA". The stretch from base 1 to 120 matches the Rfam family "5.8S ribosomal RNA", at positions 35 to 154 of the family's 154-position model. The record is from RNAcentral.